Molecule: transfer RNA, 77 nt
Filed under: Candidatus Uhrbacteria bacterium RIFOXYA2_FULL_41_8
Lineage: Bacteria; Candidatus Uhriibacteriota
Also listed under: 3 other names
Description: tRNA-Val
Rfam family: tRNA
About the family: Transfer RNA (tRNA) molecules are approximately 80 nucleotides in length.
Source: RNAcentral
GGGUGUUUAGCUCAGUUGGCUAGAGCAUCUCGUUUACACCGAGAGGGUCGGGGGUUCGAGCCCCUCAACACCCACCA